RNAcentral lists this small nuclear RNA (60 nucleotides) under Ictidomys tridecemlineatus (thirteen-lined ground squirrel). The record is from RNAcentral. Lineage: Eukaryota; Metazoa; Chordata; Mammalia; Rodentia; Sciuridae.
GUGCUCUCUUUGGCAGCAUAUUUACUAAAACUGGAAUGAUGCAGAGAAGAUUAGCAAGGC